UAUUUUGUCCUUAAAUUACUUAACUUGUACUUUUUUUAAUGGGUUAUUGUAAUGGAACUGGUGUGUGAAAGUUUUUAAAGUUUAGAUUUGUCACUAAAAAUAUAGUGACGCCUAGUUACGAUCUGUAUUGUACAUUGUACAUGUACCUUUAUCAUAAUCAAUGUUUGUGGUUUUAAAGAUCGGGUGACAUCCAAAUAUAGUUUGAUUCCUGUUGAUGUGCAGCCUAGAAAAAUGCUCCAAAUCUCAUUCAUCUUGUGACAUCAUCUGUAAAUCAUUAGUGAGCUAACAAGAGACAGUGGUACAUGUACAUCUGUAUGUAUAAUUGCUAAACCAGAGCUGAUCACCUGUUUACAAUAUACCAUAAAAUACCAACAUAUGAGUUGCUAUGUCAGAAGUGGUGUAGCAUUACCAGGAAAAGAAAAGUAACAUGGAGGUAUUUGUGUGCAUGUGCUGAGUUGGAGAAAGUUACAUAACAAUUUCUCUUGUUAGCUCACUAAUGAUUAACAGAUAGAAGAAUGAAAUCUGGAGCAUUUAUUUAGGGUGGAGCUUAGCAGGUCUGAGCAAAUUAUUGUAAAAUAUUUAAAAAUCUAUGAAAUAUAUUUAUAACAAAUUAUGAGUUGUAUGCAGCCCUGCACAUAAACAUAAACCAACUUAUAUUUGGAUGUCACCUGACCCCAUAAGGUUUGCCUCAGUACUGAUGUUUAAAUUAGACUCCUGAUAUACAUGGGUGUACAUAUACAUGUACAGGUCUAUGGCUAUGCACAGUGGUAAACCAGUAAAAAUGAAUGGAAUCCUUGUACAUAUUACAAUUUUGAACAGAUUAAAACAAGUCUGUCAUUAAUUAGUACUUAAAGAUUUGUGUAAUGUACAAUAAAAGCAUCCUUAGUGAUGGUGCCCAUAUAGACUACUGAACUAUUUCUUAAACAACACAUGGAUAAAUAAUAACAUAUUAUGUAAUGCACAUGCAAAUAUGCAUUCAAGAUGUACUUCUAAAAUAAUUUAAAAAAAUGAUUGUUUUUAGUGUCCAAGCUCAGAUAUAUGUAUUAACAUUGUUCUGUCCAGUACAAACCGCUAAUUUCCUAUUUUCUUCUCCAAUUACAGGAUCAAUGUGAGCGAUUAUGUGGCCAUAUAUUUUGAUGCACCUUCAUCUAGCAGCAGGACUACAAAUGGGGUGGUUUUCAUGGCUCUUGUAAAAGCUGUGAUUGAUGAUAAUGUCAAAGUCAAAUUCAUGCGCCGGAACAGCAAUGGUCUGUAUGAAUUUACAGAGGACUGUGAAGCCCAUCAGCCUAAAAAGAUGUAAUACAGAAGAUGACUCUACUAACCAUGACCCCAGCCGACAUAGCUUACCUAGCUUAUAAUUUUUAAGAAUGAGAACUGGACAUGUUGGCAGAUAAAUUUCUUUGAAAUAAGAAGUUGAACACAAUUGUGUUCUAGGACAAAAACCUGUAAAUGCUUACCAUGCUAUUGGUUUCAAAUAUAUGAAUGUCUGGGUAAAUGUUAUAACACAAACCAAACAAGUUCGUGGAAGCCACUGUGCAGAAAUGUAAUUCUUUGCACUAAGAAUAAAUGAUGACAAAGACGCAAGUGAAGGGUAAUGAUACAUUGCUAUGAAUUAACAUAAAUGGUUUCUAUGUGAACAAUUAUUUUAAGUACUUUACUUUCAGUUCAACAUUUUAUCAAAACUUCAAAAGUAAGUUUAAAUUUUGCCUUGUAUAUUGCCUUUGUAGUUGACAAUAUAGUGUGUUAACAUGUGUGAAGUCUCCGAAACACUACUUUGAACUAAUCCUAUACAUGUAUAUGUUCCCUGAAUGUUUCAACUUUGAUAUGAGAAAAGUGGUUUCCCUUGAAAUUACAUACUGGACAAUAUAUUUCAGCCCAGAUCAGCACAGAUUUGAAAUCCUCAUGGAUUCUAUUAAGUGACUUUGCAAUGUUUGCGUACUGAACAAAAAGCUCAUUGUAUUAAGUAAAGAUAAUUUGUAACAUACAUGUACCGUACUGUAUAUUAACAAGUAUUUUUACUCUGUAAACAAAUGUUUUAGGUGUUAUAUUAGUAAUUUAACAUAUCAUUAACAGUUUAAGUUGAAUUUUUCUUAAUAUGUUACCUAAGUAAUGGACAAAAUUUUAUGUUAACAUAAUUGAAGCCUCCAAAACAGGCAAGAUUGUUAACCUGAAGCCUCCGAAACACACACAUAUGAAAUUUUCAACUUCCUCAUUUGAAAUGCGAUUUCUUUGGAAUUUGCAUUGUAGUUAGCCCUCACUGAAUGGUAUUUGUAGAAUAAUUUUUAUUUUGCUCCCCCUCUUGGAAGAUAGGUAAAUUUGACAAAUUAAAUGUCAAAUUCAUAUUUUGUCUUGAAUUUGACAAACGCAUUGAAUUUUUUUAAAGACCAAAUAAGUUUGACCAAAAAAGCUUUAUAAGCCUUCAAGUACAUUAGAAUAGCAAAUGAAAAAUCGCAAUUGAAUUAUGUUUGGAGAACAAAUGUUGUCAUUUAAGUUGAUAGAAUUAAAAUGUUGUUUUUGUUCAAAUUUAUCAUAUUUGUCACAGUUUUUCAUUAUUUGUCCAGGUUUCUCAUGUAGUUUAAGCUCCAGAACCAAAAAAAAUCCAUAAUUUAGUAAAAAUGAUUAUGAAAACAUAUUUUGAAAUUUUGACCCUGUUUGAGAAAAGUUACACCCUUUACCGUGAAAAUGACCAUAUAUAACAUGUAGUCCAAGUGGUACCAUAAUAGUAAUGACCCAUCAGUUCUGAUGCCAAGAAGAUUUAAAAACAGAGCAAACUAGAAAUAUCACUGAAGGUGAUUAAUACCCCUAAUCCAGUAUAUCCAACUCAUGUGAUCAUAAAGAAUGUAACUUGGGUUAAAAAUUAUUUGUGUAUAUGUGUUGUGUGUGUGU
RNAcentral lists this long non-coding RNA (2886 nucleotides) under Strongylocentrotus purpuratus (purple sea urchin). Its description in RNAcentral is "uncharacterized LOC115924571". Lineage: Eukaryota; Metazoa; Echinodermata; Echinoidea; Camarodonta; Strongylocentrotidae. The record is from RNAcentral.